UGGUCCAAAUGUACUACAUGAGUUUUGA
Molecule: non-coding RNA, 28 nt
Filed under: Mus musculus (house mouse)
Lineage: Eukaryota; Metazoa; Chordata; Mammalia; Rodentia; Muridae
Source: RNAcentral